GCAAGUCGAACGGUAAGGCCCUUCGGGGUACACGAGUGGCGAACGGGUGAGUAACACGUGGGUAAUCUGCCCUGCACAUCGGGAUAAGCCUGGGAAACUGGGUCUAAUACCGAAUAGGACCACAGAACACAUGUCCUGUGGUGGAAAGCUUUUGCGGUGUGGGAUGGGCCCGCGGCCUAUCAGCUUGUUGGUGGGGUGAUGGCCCACCAAGGCGACGACGGGUAGCCGGCCUGAGAGGGUGUCCGGCCACACUGGGACUGAGAUACGGCCCAGACUCCUACGGGAGGCAGCAGUGGGGAAUAUUGCACAAUGGGCGAAAGCCUGAUGCAGCGACGCCGCGUGGGGGAUGACGGCCUUCGGGUUGUAAACCUCUUUCACCAUCGACGAAGGUUCGGGUUUUCUCGGAUUGACGGUAGGUGGAGAAGAAGCACCGGCCAACUACGUGCCAGCAGCCGCGGUAAUACGUAGGGUGCGAGCGUUGUCCGGAAUUACUGGGCGUAAAGAGCUCGUAGGUGGUUUGUCGCGUUGUUCGUGAAAUCUCACGGCUUAACUGUGAGCGUGCGGGCGAUACGGGCAGACUUGAGUACUGCAGGGGAGACUGGAAUUCCUGGUGUAGCGGUGGAAUGCGCAGAUAUCAGGAGGAACACCGGUGGCGAAGGCGGGUCUCUGGGCAGUAACUGACGCUGAGGAGCGAAAGCGUGGGGAGCGAACAGGAUUAGAUACCCUGGUAGUCCACGCCGUAAACGGUGGGUACUAGGUGUGGGUUUCCUUCCUUGGGAUCCGUGCCGUAGCUAACGCAUUAAGU
Molecule: ribosomal RNA, 805 nt
Filed under: Mycobacterium gordonae
Lineage: Bacteria; Bacillati; Actinomycetota; Actinomycetes; Mycobacteriales; Mycobacteriaceae
Description: bacterial SSU rRNA
Rfam family: Bacterial small subunit ribosomal RNA
Source: RNAcentral